AAAAGGAGAAAUCCGGUAUAGGAUGGGCUCGCGGCGCAUUAGCUAGUUGGUGAGGUAACGGCUCACCAAGGCGACGAUGCGUAGCCGACCUGAGAGGGUGGACGGCCACACUGGGACUGAGAUACGGCCCAGACUCCUACGGGAGGCAGCAGUGGGGAAUAUUGGGCAAUGGGCGCAAGCCUUACCCAGCAAUACCGCGUGAGUGAAGAAGGUCUUCGGAUUGUAAAGCUCUUUGAUCAGGGACGAACAGAUGACGGUACCUGAAGAACAAGCCCCGGCUAACUACGUGCCAGCAGCCGCGGUAAAACGUAGGGGGCGAGCGUUGUCCGGAAUGACUGGGCGUAAAGGGUGCGUAGGCGGCAUAAUAAGUUAGAAGUGAAAUCCCAGAGCUUAACUCGGGUGCUGCUUCUAAGACUGUUGAGCUUGAGUGCGGGAGAGGUUAAUGGAAUUCCUAGUGUAGCGGUGGAAUGCGUAGAUAUUAGGAGGAACACCAGAGGCGAAGGCGAUUAACUGGACCGUAACUGACGCUGAGGCACGAAAGUGUGGGUAGCAAACAGGAUUAGAUACCCUGGUAGUCCACACUGUAAA
RNAcentral lists this ribosomal RNA (588 nucleotides) under uncultured bacterium. RNAcentral describes it as "bacterial SSU rRNA". It matches the Rfam family "Bacterial small subunit ribosomal RNA", at positions 202 to 806 of the family's 1533-position model. The record is from RNAcentral.